GUCAUCACAAGGAUCAGAUUUCAAGUACCAGAGUAGUCCUAACUCCUAAAUUUUCCCAACUUGUCAAAAUACUUCUAGUGACACAAGAGAAGAAUGUGGAGUAAAUGCCAAUAAUGGCUUGACUGCAGGGGUAUACCUCACUUCUCGGCAAUUUCUGGUUAUCACCAUCCGAAUGACCAAUUCAGAGGAAAAGACCAACUUCAAGGUGCCUCUUAUGCAUUGAGAUCUUUCGCUGAUGGACUCAAAUUGUUCAGGAAAAAAUCCAGCUACCACAGCCACAGAUUUCUGCCGUGUGUUCAGAAGGAA
This is a long non-coding RNA of Saccostrea cuccullata (small rock oyster), 306 nucleotides long. RefSeq lists it as uncharacterized. Lineage: Eukaryota; Metazoa; Mollusca; Bivalvia; Ostreida; Ostreidae. The record is from RefSeq and is a predicted model, not a curated record. The transcript has 3 exons.